ACCUAUAAAAAGCUCAUGUACCACGUGAUACUUAUCAACCAAAAUAGUUGUGUUUUUUUUCUCUACCUAACGAAUUUUGGUCAGACUUCUGUUUUGACUAAUUUAUAACCUAUACGCGAGAUAACAAAAAAAGUCUGCACAUUUUUUUUUCUCUUGGUGUUAUCUCUGUGAUCCAAGAGCAGAGGUGACCUUCUAACAAUAUUGCCAAACGUUAGCGAAUCGACCAGUGCGCAAAGUGUCGCUGGCAGUUCACUGGAUCUAUCGCUCACACACACAGGGAGUUUGAACUAACUUCGCGGGUGGGGUUUAAAUUUGAGUUUUGAAUUGAUACGCAGGCAUAGAAAGAAAUGGCUUCUAGAACUUUCGGAUUCGGCCUCAGAGCUUUCAAAAAAUACCCGGAGUUGAUUCCCUUGGUCUCCAUUAUCGGUACAGCCUGCAUCGGUUGCGCAGCGUUCAUGGUCUACGCAGUGGCUACGAAGCCAGAUGUCAGGUUGGUCAAAUCUCGAGGUCCAGCAUACGAGGACGUGGAACCCACAGAAUCUCGUAAACUUAUUGACUUGGACAAAGCAAAGUAUCGACCCAUUCCUGAAUUGGAACAGCUGAAGAAAGAAAUCGGCAGUUAUAAAUCAUAAAGACCUGAAGUUUUCUUGUUAACAAAUAAGUUGUGAUCUGUGGGUUUUUUUAGUCUACGUCUGCUCUUGGGAGCGUUUCGCGGGUCAUAGAUUGCCUCCCUUUGUUUUUAAACCUUGGUAAACAAGAGAUUAGCUCCCGUGUUAGUUUUUAUUUUACAGAAUGUUUCCGUUGGUUUAUGUAUAUUGCUGCCAUAAUGCCGAUACAUAUCUUUUUAUAUUGUGUGUAUGAUACGAAUGAAUGCGAGGCAGUCUUGGUCUGUAUGUCUACCUUGUCGGUCACUGUAAGAGCUUGGCCAUUAGCCUAGCUCGUUCAUGUUAGAAAAUAUUCCAUUGAAUGUUUCUUUAUGUAGUUUUUGUUAAGAAUAAUUUAUCUAAUAAAUAUUUAUACAUAUAA
Molecule: long non-coding RNA, 1026 nt
Organism: Biomphalaria glabrata
Lineage: Eukaryota; Metazoa; Mollusca; Gastropoda; Planorbidae
Exons: 5
Source: RefSeq, a predicted model, not a curated record